Molecule: ribosomal RNA, 902 nt
Filed under: uncultured bacterium
Lineage: Bacteria
Description: bacterial SSU rRNA
Rfam family: Bacterial small subunit ribosomal RNA
Source: RNAcentral
ACGCUGGCGGCGUGCCUAAUACAUGCAAGUCGAGCGAAGUUUUUCUGGUGCUUGCACUAGAAAAACUUAGCGGCGAACGGGUGAGUAACACGUAAAGAACCUGCCUCAUAGACGGGGACAACUAUUGGAAACGAUAGCUAAUACCGGAUAACAGCAUAAAUCGCAUGAUAUAUGUUUAAAAGUUGGUUUCGGCUAACACUAUGAGAUGGCUUUGCGGUGCAUUAGCUAGUUGGUGGGGUAAAGGCCUACCAAGGCGACGAUGCAUAGCCGACCUGAGAGGGUGAUCGGCCACACUGGGACUGAGACACGGCCCAGACUCCUACGGGAGGCAGCAGUAGGGAAUCUUCCGCAAUGGGCGAAAGCCUGACGGAGCAACGCCGCGUGAGUGAAGAAGGAUUUCGGUUCGUAAAGCUCUGUUGUUAGGGAAGAAUGAUUGUAUAGUAACUAUAUACAGUAGAGACGGUACCUAACCAGAAAGCCACGGCUAACUACGUGCCAGCAGCCGCGGUAAUACGUAGGUGGCAAGCGUUGUCCGGAAUUAUUGGGCGUAAAGCGCGCGCAGGUGGUUUAAUAAGUCUGAUGUGAAAGCCCACGGCUCAACCGUGGAGGGUCAUUGGAAACUGUUAAACUUGAGUGCAGGAGAGAAAAGUGGAAUUCCUAGUGUAGCGGUGAAAUGCGUAGAGAUUAGGAGGAACACCAGUGGCGAAGGCGGCUUUUUGGCCUGUAACUGACACUGAGGCGCGAAAGCGUGGGGAGCAAACAGGAUUAGAUACCCUGGUAGUCCACGCCGUAAACGAUGAGUGCUAAGUGUUGGUCUCAUAAGAGAUCAGUGCUGCAGCUAACGCAUUAAGCACUCCGCCUGGGGAGUACGACCGCAAGGUUGAAACUCAAAGGAAUUGACG